AGCACAAAUAAAUAAAACCCAAAAUAACAAAAAUAUUCAUAAAGUCCAAAUUACAAACAGGCCCAAUAUGGCCCAAAUCAGAAAAAACCUUGCAGCCCAAAAUAGCCCAAAGCUUAAACUGUUUCAGAAAAAAAAAAGAAACCGUAGGGCACCAUGUGCGCCGCACUGCUUCUUCGUGCCCUUGCAGCGCACUCGUCGCCCGAAGCAUGA
Molecule: long non-coding RNA, 210 nt
Filed under: Gossypium raimondii (Peruvian cotton)
Lineage: Eukaryota; Viridiplantae; Streptophyta; Magnoliopsida; Malvales; Malvaceae
Description: long non-coding RNA (GRAI_LNC002563)
Source: RNAcentral